UGCUCAAUGAUUCAGCCAUGCUAAGUCAUGGUAAUAUACGCUAUUCUGAUCCACACAAGGAUGUCAUCAGCAUUUCUGAGAGAA
Molecule: non-coding RNA, 84 nt
Organism: Zea mays
Lineage: Eukaryota; Viridiplantae; Streptophyta; Magnoliopsida; Poales; Poaceae
Source: Rfam